CUUGGAUCCUGUGAAAGAGCAGCUGUUGAGGACACGAUUGAUUGCUCCCAGCAGGUAACUGACUUAUGGCAGCACUGAUGAGCUCUCAGACCAGAAGCAACUGUCAAUGGAAAUGGUGAAGAAUGCUCAGCUAAGUCUGUUCAGCUGUCCAGAACCCCGCUCAGGGGACACUCGCUCGAGUUGCUGCCCUGAAGUGAAGUCACAGUUCAUGCUUUUUCUCAGCUGCUUCAUCAAGCUGACCCAGAAGAGGGGGAAGACACUUGAAGACUCACUCAAGUGAUGGAUGUCCUGUUCAUUUGAAUUCUUCAUAGCUGAAUAUCCAAAAAUAGUGCUAAAAUACUAAAAAUUAUUGGUGAAUGAUGUUUUCUCCCAUGUUUACUGAAAGCAAUAAAAAUUCAGAGAGAUU
This 406-nucleotide long non-coding RNA is filed under the name Cricetulus griseus (Chinese hamster). RNAcentral describes it as "lncRNA (ENSCGRG00015034566.1)". Lineage: Eukaryota; Metazoa; Chordata; Mammalia; Rodentia; Cricetidae. The record is from RNAcentral.